UUCUGGCUCAGGACGAACGCUGGCGGCGUGCCUAAUACAUGCAAGUCGAACGGUCUUUCUAUGGAAGCUUGCUUCCACUGAGAAGAUAGUGGCGAACGGGUGAGUAACACGUGGGUAACCUGCCCAUAAGAGGGGGAUAACAUCCGGAAACGGGUGCUAAUACCGCAUAGUUUUCUUGAUCGCAUGAUCGGGAAAGGAAAGACGGCCUUUGUGCUGUCGCUUAUGGAUGGACCCGCGGCGUAUUAGUUAGUUGGUGAGGUAACGGCUCACCAAGACGAUGAUACGUAGCCGACCUGAGAGGGUGAUCGGCCACAUUGGGACUGAGACACGGCCCAAACUCCUACGGGAGGCAGCAGUAGGGAAUCUUCCGCAAUGGACGAAAGUCUGACGGAGCAACGCCGCGUGAGUGAAGAAGGUUUUCGGAUCGUAAAACUCUGUUGUCAGAGAAGAACAAGUUGGAGAGUAACUGCUCCAGCCUUGACGGUAUCCGACCAGAAAGCCACGGCUAACUACGUGCCAGCCGCCGC
RNAcentral lists this ribosomal RNA (527 nucleotides) under uncultured bacterium. RNAcentral's name for it is "bacterial SSU rRNA". It matches the Rfam family "Bacterial small subunit ribosomal RNA", at positions 17 to 518 of the family's 1533-position model. The record is from RNAcentral.